AUUGAACGCUGGCGGCAUGCUUUACACAUGCAAGUCGAACGGCAGCGCGGGCUUCGGCCUGGCGGCGAGUGGCGAACGGGUGAGUAAUGCAUCGGAACGUGCCCAGUAGUGGGGGAUAGCCCGGCGAAAGCCGGAUUAAUACCGCAUACGACCUGAGGGUGAAAGCGGGGGACCGAAAGGCCUCGCGCUAUUGGAGCGGCCGAUCUCGGAUUAGCUAGUUGGUGGGGUAAAGGCUUACCAAGGCGACGAUCCGUAGCUGGUCUGAGAGGACGACCAGCCACACUGGGACUGAGACACGGCCCAGACUCCUACGGGAGGCAGCAGUGGGGAAUUUUGGACAAUGGGGGCAACCCUGAUCCAGCCAUGCCGCGUGCGGGAAGAAGGCCUUCGGGUUGUAAACCGCUUUUGUUCGGGAAGAAAUCCUCUGGGCUAAUACCCCGGGGGGAUGACGGUACCGGAAGAAUAAGCACCGGCUAACUACGUG
RNAcentral lists this ribosomal RNA (484 nucleotides) under uncultured bacterium. RNAcentral's name for it is "partial 16S ribosomal RNA". It matches the Rfam family "Bacterial small subunit ribosomal RNA", at positions 28 to 507 of the family's 1533-position model. The record is from RNAcentral.